GCAGGAGUUGAGGCUGUUGUCAAUUUUGCCAACCUAGGAUCGAUUCGCUUUUCCGUCGGCCGUUGUCAAUUCGGUCUAGUGCUCCUUUGAGACUUGCUUGUUUUUUUUUCCUUUCUUCUUGGAAUAGAUUGCUAGUUUUCUGUGUUCGAGAUCUUGAUUAAUUUUUAGCAUUUUUUGCUUGUCGAAUCGUGAUGCACUAUGAACUCAUCUUUGGCAAAUUGAUGCUUAUGUAUGUGAUGUACGUGAUACCAGUUCCAUCAAUCUUUUCUUGUAUAUAUGUGUAGCAAAUUGAUGAAAUAAUACUCAUAUUAGGUAAGGUUGACAGAAGUUUAGACCAAGCGUAGUACAGACAUUUCAAUAGGCAACUCACACAAUGCAAAAGCUAAAAAGAACUGGAAUGUAAUUUUUCCCGAACUUCUUCCCACCACAGUUUCUAUGGGUAGAGAAGUUAAAACUGUUUCUGGAGAAGCCGAAGCCGAAAAGAUCUGGCCCAUUGUUUCCCUUUCCGCAGCGGCCGUUGGGCGCACCAACAGGCUACAGCCGCGUUGUGUCUACCAUGACAAGCACAUGCUUCCCAUUUUUUCCUUUUUUUUCCAGAUUCAGAACAAAAAAUAAGCAUAAGCUAUUCAUUUAUAAUGUUAAAUACGGACUAGGAUACAAGUAAUGUGGCAAGUAAGGGUGUGUUCGGAUGUCCUCUGGCUUCCAGCUUCCCAAAACUCCACCGUGGAGCAGCGCCGAACACUCUAACUCCAAGAAGCUAGAUCCGGGAAGCCAGUCAAAUUUGCUAUACAAAACUCGGAGCACCUCUUUUGGAAAUUCCUGGAGUAGCAAAACACGGAGC
This 841-nucleotide long non-coding RNA is filed under the name Brachypodium distachyon (stiff brome). RNAcentral describes it as "long non-coding RNA (BDIS_LNC003877)". The record is from RNAcentral. Lineage: Eukaryota; Viridiplantae; Streptophyta; Magnoliopsida; Poales; Poaceae.